GGUAUGGCUGCUGCAGCUGGUGUUGUGAAUCAGGCCGAUGCCACACGCCUGCUCUAACCCGGCUAUUUCACAACACCAGGGUCGCAUCAUACC
Molecule: microRNA precursor, 93 nt
Organism: Lepisosteus oculatus (spotted gar)
Lineage: Eukaryota; Metazoa; Chordata; Actinopteri; Semionotiformes; Lepisosteidae
Source: Ensembl